This 491-nucleotide ribosomal RNA is filed under the name uncultured bacterium. Its description in RNAcentral is "partial 16S ribosomal RNA". It matches the Rfam family "Bacterial small subunit ribosomal RNA", at positions 29 to 506 of the family's 1533-position model. The record is from RNAcentral.
AGUGAACGCUGGCGGUAGGCCUAACACAUGCAAGUCGAACGGCAGCACAGUAAGAGCUUGCUCUUACGGGUGGCGAGUGGCGGACGGGUGAGGAAUACAUCGGAAUCUACUUUUUCGUGGGGGAUAACGUAGGGAAACUUACGCUAAUACCGCAUAUGACCUACGGGUGAAAGCAGGGGAUCUUCGGACCUUGCGCGAUUGAAUGAGCCGAUGUCGGAUUAGCUAGUUGGCGGGGUAAAGGCCCACCAAGGCGACGAUCCGUAGCUGGUCUGAGAGGAUGAUCAGCCACACUGGAAAUGAGACACGGACCAGACUCCGACGGGAGGCAGCAGUGGGGAAUAUUGGACAAGGGGCGCAAGCCUGAACCAGCCAUACCGCGUGGGUGAAGAAGGCCUGCGGGUUGUAAAGCCCUUUUGUUAGGAAAGAAAAGCAGCAGGUUAAUACCGCGCUGUUCUGACGGUACCCAAAGAAUAAGCACCGGCUAACUUCGU